CCUACGGGAGGCAGCAGUGAGGAAUAUUGGUCAAUGGACGAGAGUCUGAACCAGCCAAGUAGCGUGAAGGAUGACUGCCCUAUGGGUUGUAAACUUCUUUUAUCUGGGAAUAAAAUGUUCCACGUGUGGGAUUUUGUAUGUACCAUAUGAAUAAGGAUCGGCUAACUCCGUGCCAGCAGCCGCGGUAAUACGGAGGAUCCGAGCGUUAUCCGGAUUUAUUGGGUUUAAAGGGAGCGUAGGUGGAUUGUUAAGUCAGUUGUGAAAGUUUGCGGCUCAACCGUAAAAUUGCAGUUGAAACUGGCAGUCUUGAGUACAGUAGAGGUGGGCGGAAUGCGUGGUGUAGCGGUGAAAUGCAUAGAUAUCGCGAAGAACUCCGAUUGCGAAGGCAGCUCACUGGACUGCAACUGACACUGAGGCUCGAAAGUGUGGGUAUCGAACAGGAUUAGAUACCCCAGUAGUC
Molecule: ribosomal RNA, 460 nt
Filed under: uncultured bacterium
Lineage: Bacteria
Description: partial 16S ribosomal RNA
Rfam family: Bacterial small subunit ribosomal RNA
Source: RNAcentral